AAUACCGGAUAGUUCCUUGAACCGCAUGGUUCAAGGGAUGAAAGACGGUUUCGGCUGUCACUUACAGAUGGACCCGCGGCGCAUUAGCUAGUUGGUGGGGUAAUGGCUCACCAAGGCGACGAUGCGUAGCCGACCUGAGAGGGUGAUCGGCCACACUGGGACUGAGACACGGGCCCAGACUCCUACGGGAGGCAGCAGUAGGGAAUCUUCCGCAAUGAGACGAAAGUCUGACGGAGCAACGCUGCGUGAGUGAUUAAGGUUUUCGGAUCGUAAGCUCUGUUGUUAGGGAAGUACAAGUGCGAGAGUAACUGCUCGCACCUUGACGGUACCUAACCAGAAAGCCACGGCUAACUACGUGCCAGCAGCCGCGGUAAUACGUAGGUGGCAAGCGUUGUCCGGAAUGAUUGGGCGUAAAGGGCUCGCAGGCGGUUUCUUAAGUCUGAUGUGAAAGCCCCCGGCUCAACCGGGGAGGCUCAUUGGAAACUGGGAACUUGAUGUGCAGAAGAGGAGAUGGAAUUCCAUCGUGUAGCUGUUGAUAUGCGUAGAGAUUUGGAGGAACACCAGUGUCGAAGGCGACUCUCUGGUCUGUAACUGACGCUGAGGAGCGAAAGCGUGGGGAGCGAACAGGAUUAGAUACCCUGGUAGUCCACGCCGUAAACGAUGAGUGCUAAGUGUUAGGGGGUUUCCGCCCCUUAGUGCUGCAGCUAACGCAUUAAGCACUCCGCCUGGGGAGUACGGUCGCAAGACUGAAACUCAAAGGAAUUGACGGGGGCCCGCACAAGCGGU
This 786-nucleotide ribosomal RNA is filed under the name Bacillus sp. enrichment culture clone CBMAI_985. Its description in RNAcentral is "bacterial SSU rRNA". It matches the Rfam family "Bacterial small subunit ribosomal RNA", at positions 165 to 933 of the family's 1533-position model. The record is from RNAcentral. Lineage: Bacteria; Bacillati; Bacillota; Bacilli; Caryophanales; Bacillaceae.